AUGUGCCCCGGUCGGGCGCGUUCCGUAGCAGAGCCGCACAAGGGGUUUUCCGCAGCCUGGGAAGCCUCAAGGGAUCGCCGAGAGCACCCGGAGGCCGCCACCCCGAUUGCGAGCAGCUGCCGCGGCGUGGGCGGGGCGAGCAGGAGCAGCGGCCACCCCCCACUCUUCCAUAGGCAGCUCCAAGGCAGCGAGAGCCACCAGUGUAUGGGGCAGCAAGCAGGGGCCGGUGCGGCACUGCGCCUCGGAGGGCGCAGGGAGGGGGCCCCCACGGUAGGGAGGGACGGUCCGCGGGCCAAGCCGGAGGCAGAAUUCCUAUUUGAAGUGGAUGACCUGGCCACAUGCGAAGCAUCUUCUCAAAGCCUGUCCCUGCUAGGAUUUAGGCUGCAACACAGGAUGAAAAAGUAGUGGAUCUGUUGUUCUGAGGCAGAAAAUAAUGCUCAGAGUCCAUGAGGCCAUAUGGAAUUCAUCUGAGUGCUAGAGAAAUUAGUGGACAUUAUAGCAGGAUCGGACAUUAUAUCUGGACCUCUCUCAACUGUUUACCAAAGGUCAUGGGAGUCUGGGGAGAACCAUGCUGACUACAGGCAGCAUUAUACGUAUCUACAGAAGGCACGAGAGAAGACCAAGAAAACUGCAGACCUAUUAGUCUAACCUCGAUCCCUGGGAAAGUUAUAAAGAAGAUUGUCCUGAGGGAUAUUGAAAGGCAUUUAACUAACAAACAAAGUUAUUAUGAGGUUUAGUAAGCAUGUGUUCAUCAAGUUAAAGUUCUGCCUUAGUAGUUUGAUCUUCUAUGAUGAGAUAGUGGUGGAACACCCCCUUGGUGGAUGAAGAGAAGGUGGUUGAUGUAAUCUUCCAGGAUUUUAGUAAGAACUUUUCAUCCUUCUGGACGAAUUGUCUGUGAGAUAAGCAGGAUCACACUACGCUGGGUGAUGAACUGGCUUGAGCUCAAAGGAUUGUAGUAAAUGGGGCUACGUCUGACUGGUGGACAGUCGCCAGAAGGGGUCAGUUCUAGGCCACAGAAUCACAGAAUUGUCUAGGUUGGAAGAGACCUCAAGAUCACUGAGUCCAACCUCUGACCUAACACUAACAAGUCCUCCACUAAACCGUAUUGCUAAGUUCAACAUCAAAACGUCUUUUAAAGACCUCCAGGGAUGGUGACUCCACCACUUCCCUGGGCAGCCCAUUCCAAUGCCUAACAACCCACUCAGUAAAGAAGUUCUUCCUAAUAUCCAACCUAAAACACUCCUGGCGCAAAUUUAGCCUGUUACCCCUCAUCCUGUCACCAGACACAUGGGAGAAUAGACCAACAAAUAGGCCAGUCCUAUUUAACAUUUUUAUCAAUGAUCUGGAUGCAAGACUGGACUUCAUCCUUAUCAAGUUUGCCAAUGAUAAUAAACUGAGAGGUGCUGUUGAUUCA
Molecule: long non-coding RNA, 1414 nt
Filed under: Anas platyrhynchos platyrhynchos (common mallard)
Lineage: Eukaryota; Metazoa; Chordata; Aves; Anseriformes; Anatidae
Description: lncRNA (ENSAPLG00000029873.1)
Source: RNAcentral